This 966-nucleotide ribosomal RNA is filed under the name Streptomyces sp. WZ.A104. RNAcentral describes it as "Bacterial large subunit ribosomal RNA". It matches the Rfam family "Bacterial large subunit ribosomal RNA", at positions 176 to 1080 of the family's 2925-position model. Lineage: Bacteria; Bacillati; Actinomycetota; Actinomycetes; Kitasatosporales; Streptomycetaceae. The record is from Rfam by way of RNAcentral.
GGAGGGAACGAGGGGAAGUGAAACAUCUCAGUACCCUCAGGAAGAGAAAACAACCGUGAUUCCGGGAGUAGUGGCGAGCGAAACUGGAUGAGGCCAAACCGUAUGCGUGUGAUACCCGGCAGGGGUUGCGCAUGCGGGGUUGUGGGAGUUCUCUUGAUCAAUCUGCCGGUUGGUCGACGAGUCAGAAACCGUUGGUGUAGGCGAAGGACAUGCGAAAGGUCCGGCGUAGAGGGUAAGACCCCCGUAGCUGAAACAUCAACGGCUCGUUUGAGAACCACCCAAGUAGCACGGGGCCCGAGAAAUCCCGUGUGAAUCUGGCGGGACCACCCGCUAAGCCUAAAUAUUCCCUGGUGACCGAUAGCGGAUAGUACCGUGAGGGAAUGGUGAAAAGUACCGCGGGAGCGGAGUGAAAUAGUACCUGAAACCGUGUGCCUACAAGCCGUGGGAGCGUCGCUGUAUGUGCUUGCACAUGCAGUCGUGACUGCGUGCCUUUUGAAGAAUGAGCCUGCGAGUUAGCGGUGUGUAGCGAGGUUAACCCGUGUGGGGAAGCCGUAGCGAAAGCGAGUCCGAACAGGGCGUUUGAGUUGCACGCUCUAGACCCGAAGCGGAGUGAUCUAGCCAUGGGCAGGUUGAAGCGGAGGUAAGACUUCGUGGAGGACCGAACCCACCAGGGUUGAAAACCUGGGGGAUGACCUGUGGUUAGGGGUGAAAGGCCAAUCAAACUCCGUGAUAGCUGGUUCUCCCCGAAAUGCAUUUAGGUGCAGCGUCGUGUGUUUCUUGCCGGAGGUAGAGCACUGGAUAGGCGAUGGGCCCUACCGGGUUACUGACCUUAGCCAAACUCCGAAUGCCGGUAAGUGAGAGCGCGGCAGUGAGACUGUGGGGGAUAAGCUCCAUGGUCGAGAGGGAAACAGCCCAGAGCAUCGACUAAGGCCCCUAAGCGUACGCUAAGUGGGAAAGGAUGUGGAG